GACGAACGCUGGCGGCGUGCUUAACACAUGCAAGUCGAACGGAAAGGCCCUGCUUUUGUGGGGUGCUCGAGUGGCGAACGGGUGAGUAACACGUGAGUAACCUGCCCUUGACUUUGGGAUAACUUCAGGAAACUGGGGCUAAUACCGGAUAGGAGCUCCUGCUGCAUGGUGGGGGUUGGAAAGUUUCGGCGGUUGGGGAUGGACUCGCGGCUUAUCAGCUUGUUGGGGGGGUAGUGGCUUACCAAGGCCUUGACGGGUAGCCGGCCUGAGAGGGUGACCGGCCACAUUGGGACUGAGAUACGGCCCAGACUCCUACGGGAGGCAGCAGUGGGGAAUAUUGCACAAUGGGCGGAAGCCAGAUGCAGCAACGCCGCGUGCGGGAUGACGGCCUUCGGGUUGUAAACCGCUUUCGCCUGUGACGAAGCGUGAGUGACGGUAAUGGGUAAAGAAGCACCGGCUAACUACGUG
RNAcentral lists this ribosomal RNA (468 nucleotides) under uncultured bacterium. RNAcentral describes it as "partial 16S ribosomal RNA". It matches the Rfam family "Bacterial small subunit ribosomal RNA", at positions 28 to 507 of the family's 1533-position model. The record is from RNAcentral.